AUGAUGUCCCACAGGUGUUUGUCAACCUGUUCCGGCUCUUCCCAACUCUGGCAGUGGCUAUGGCCUAACAGCUGGUGGCAGGAACAGGGCUGUGACAAGAAUCAGCAACUGCAUGGGGCCUCAUCAAUUUCCAGAAGAGGACAGGACAUGCUCAAGAUGCCCCAAAGAGAAAGGACAAAGGAGAGGAAUUCUGAGAUGCAAGUCCCUAUGGAGGAGGGGACAGAGUUAAAUUCCAACAGUCCAACAGACUACGGCUAGAGUAACAGUCUUCUCUUACCUGUACCUUUAACGCUCAGCUUGCCAUUUGUUCCUUAGUAUCUGCUGUUAGUGACGUUCCUUUCAGAAACAAGAAAACAAACGUCUUUUCCUGCUGAAGUUUUUGACUUACUUCUUUCUCUCCUUUGCACCAUCAAGUAUUUGAGCAGUGGAUACCCUUGCCUCCAUUUCCUCACCCACUAUGCCCUCCUCUCCUGCUGCAAACUGGCUUCCCCACAUCACUCUUCUGAAAUUCUGCUCCCCAAACAUACUCAUUCCAGUGAAAUUGUCUUCCCCAGAAUUACUUUGGUGUCUGACAGGACUGGGUGAAGGGGUAAAAAAACUAUUAAGAUUGGCUGGGUGCAGUGGUUCACACCUGUAAUCCCAGCAGUUUAGGAGGCCGAGACAGGUGGAUCACCUGAGGUCAGAAGUUCGAGACCAGCCUGGUCAACAUGGUGAAACCCCAUCUCUACUAAAAAUACAAAAAUUAGCCAGGUGUGGUGCGCACCUGUAAUCACAGCUACUCAGGAGGCUGAGGCAGGAGAAUCGCUUGGAACCAGGGAGGCGGAGGUUGCA
RNAcentral lists this long non-coding RNA (831 nucleotides) under Macaca nemestrina (pig-tailed macaque). Its description in RNAcentral is "lncRNA (ENSMNEG00000046142.1)". Lineage: Eukaryota; Metazoa; Chordata; Mammalia; Primates; Cercopithecidae. The record is from RNAcentral.